Molecule: unclassified non-coding RNA, 336 nt
Filed under: soil metagenome
Description: partial contains 5.8S ribosomal RNA, internal transcribed spacer 2, and large subunit ribosomal RNA
Rfam family: 5.8S ribosomal RNA (bases 1-120)
Source: RNAcentral
GAUGAAGAACGCAGCGAAAUGCGAUAAGUAAUGUGAAUUGCAGAAUUCAGUGAAUCAUCGAAUCUUUGAACGCACAUUGCGCCCGCCAGUAUUCUGGCGGGCAUGCCUGUUCGAGCGUCAUUUCAACCAUCAAGCCCCCGGCUUGUGUUGGGGACCUGCGGCUGCCGCAGGCCCUGAAAACCAGUGGCGGGCCCGCUAGUCACUCCGAGCGUAGUAAUACAUCUCGCUCAGGGCGUGCUGCGGGUUCCGGCCGUUAAAAAAGCCUUAUUUACCCAAGGUUGACCUCGGAUCAGGUAGGAAGACCCGCUGAACUUAAGCAUAUCAAUAAGCGGAGGA